GACGAACGCUGGCGGCGUGCUUAACACAUGCAAGUCGAACGGAAAGGCCCUGCUUUUGUGUGGUGCUCGAGUGGCGAACGGGUGAGUAACACGUGAGUAACCUGCCCUUGACUUUGGGAUAACUUCAGGAAACUGGGGCUACUACCGGAUAGGAGCUCCUGCUGCAUGGUGGGGGUUGGAAAGUUUCGGCGGUUGGGGAUGGACUCGCGGCUUAUCAGCUUGUUGGUGGGGUAGUGGCUUACCAAGGCUUUGACGGGUAGCCGGCCUGAGAGGGUGACCGGCCACAUUGGGACUGAGAUACGGCCCAGACUCCUACGGGAGGCAGCAGUGGGGAAUAUUGCACAAUGGGCGGAAGCCUGAUGCAGCAACGCCGCGUGCGGGAUGACGGCCUUCGGGUUGUAAACCGCUUUCGCCUGUGACGAAGCGUGAGUGACGGUAAUGGGUAAAGAAGCACCGGCUAACUACGUG
RNAcentral lists this ribosomal RNA (468 nucleotides) under uncultured bacterium. RNAcentral's name for it is "partial 16S ribosomal RNA". It matches the Rfam family "Bacterial small subunit ribosomal RNA", at positions 28 to 507 of the family's 1533-position model. The record is from RNAcentral.